GUAGGGUAGCGGGAAAUAGUAAUUUGACACCUAGUUUUGUGACUUUUGCUUGUCAAAAAAAAAAAAAAACAAUUUAAUUGUUUGCAAAAAUUUUAUGUUUCCCAAGAAUAAAAAGAAAACCAUUUGACAAAAAUGGACAAUCUCCUUGAAAAAAAAAAACAAUCGAUUGCCCUUACUGCUAGCCAUAAAUUCACUUCCUUGCAUUCCAGAAGAAGGAAGAAUAAAUUCAAUAAUUAUUCCCUCAGCAGACCUAUGGUGCAGAAUGUGAAGAGUACCUACUUCAAAAUAGUUUUCUCCACAUCAUGUUUUUUAACUUGCAUUCUCCUUUAAAUAUUUUUCAUUUUUUUACUUGAAUUUCAGUUAAAAAGGAAACUUUCUUUGAAUGUUCAGCUGGCAUAGCUCAUAAGUCAUAACAAAAUUGUUACCAAACUAGAAGCUGGCAUGACUAAGCCCAAUAAACAAACAAUCUUGCCUAUGUCAAAAAUCAAUGCUCUCUUCGUUAACCUCCCUGUGAGCAAAAUCAAAGGUCUUGGGCUUUGAUGUCUGUGAAAGACUAAAGAAGAAUCAAGAAUCUUGGAAAUUUGUUGAAUUUUUCUGAAGUUGAACUUUAAGAGGAAACUCGUCGGAAAAAAUAGAUUAUGGUUGCACUUUAUGUUCUCGCUUUUACUCGAAAAGCAUUGGUUGCUGUAAAAAAUUCAAAUUUCGGAUGGAUUUAUUCUAUUCUGCGACUUUCUUCUUUUCCAAUUAAAUUAAAUAUUCGUGGGAGCUCAUAGCGAACAGCACCUUGUUUAUUCAACCAAGUAAAUCACAUCGUCCUCUUUCCGGAACAAUGUCGUCUAGUGGAAGAUUUCUAAAAAAUAGGGAAGUUCAAAAUAUUUUCUGUAUCGAAAUGAAAAAACCGAUCCUGGAUUCAUCGACGAAAAAAUUCUACUAAUUAUAUCACAAAACCUGCACCGACUACAUUAAGCAAAUUGUUUUAUUCCUACUCUUAAAAAAAUCUUCAUCCACCAAUUCAUUCAUUAAUUGUAAAACAUUUUAUUCCCAUCGAUUAUUUUGUAGAACUGGAAGAAAAUCAUCAAGAAAUUCAAGAAAUAUCUUCUCAGCUAGAAACUAUUCGGAAGCUAUAAUCUUAAAUUUUUUUUAGAAACCUAAGUUUUAUGGAAAAAUUUAUUAAAGACAAAGCUAAAUCGAGGGCCACCCAUUCGAUGAUUGAUAAUCUUGACAUCAUUAAAAUGCACAUUGUCAGUAUUUCGGAUAUGAAAAAAGAAACUCGAGAAUUAGAAAUGAUUAACAAUCAUCACUUUAAUUGCACUAACAAAACUAUUCUAAAUGAUGCAGAAACAACGUUCUCAGCAACAAAUGGAGCUUAUUCUUUAUGAAAAUACAAAAGAAAAACUCAACCGAGCCUACAAGAGACUUGAGAAUGUUAAAAUGCUUACAAAAACUGUAUCCGAUGCACUUACGAAUGCCGAACUCAUAUGGAUAACUACACAAUUGGAUUUGGAAAAAAAUCGUAACCGAUUUAGUAACUCGGAUGAAUUAAAUAUGCAAUGAAAAUGUACAAAAGCUUGUUUGUAUGAAUAUGAAAAGUUUGGAAGGCUUUUGAAAUAUGCUUUGAAUGCAUUGAUAAAUAAGAAACCUUAUACGUCUGUUUUAGAUUUAAUCAAUGAACUCAAUCGAAUUGAGAACAUCUUGAAGCCUUAUGUGUAUGAAAGUCCUGUUAAAUUGGCCAUGUUCGAACAAAUAAACUUACUCAAACCAAUUUUCAAUGCAAAAAUGAAUAAGAAACAUUUUGAAAUUGAUUUUCGGCAUUUGCGUUCUCAAUUCCAGGAGAAUAUUCAUGAAAAAAUGAGCAAUGAUGCCUUGUUGCACAAUGGUCAGUUGCUUUGGAUUUGGUUUCUAACUGAACCAAAAAAAUUACUAGAUGCCGUUGCUGAGGUUCGAAAAGCAGCUUUUAAAGUACCAGUAAUGACGGGAGUCAAAUCACUUGGGGGUACAAAGAGAAAAGGAGGAGAAUCAAGUAUACCUUGAAAUGUUAUUGUAAUAUUUAUUUAUUUUU
Long non-coding RNA from Episyrphus balteatus (marmalade hoverfly), 2059 nucleotides. RefSeq lists it as uncharacterized. Lineage: Eukaryota; Metazoa; Arthropoda; Insecta; Diptera; Syrphidae. The transcript has 7 exons. The record is from RefSeq and is a predicted model, not a curated record.